Esox lucius (northern pike) is the source of this 2839-nucleotide long non-coding RNA. NCBI's taxonomy places the organism in Eukaryota, Metazoa, Chordata, Actinopteri, Esociformes, Esocidae. The record is from Ensembl.
AAGGUGAUCCCGAACUGUUGAGCAACUGAAAUCCUAUAUCAAGCAAGAAUGGGAAAACUUUUCACUUUCAAAACUACAGCAUCUGGUCUCUUCAGUUCCCAAACGCUUAGAGAAUCUUGUUAAAAGAGGAGAUGCAACAGUUAGAAACUUGCCCCAAGCCCAACUUUUUUAAAUGUGUUGCUGACAUCAAAUUAAAAAUGGGCAUACAUUUUUCCAAAAGCAAUACCAUUUCUCUGGCUCAACAUCUGAUAUGUUGACAUUGUACUAAUUUCAAUUAAAUAUAGCAGCGUCCCAACUAUUUUCGAAACAGUAUAAUUGGAAAAAACAUUUUAGUACACAAGAAAUGUACUCCAAAACUUUUUCAGAUAAUUAAUAUUUUUGAAAUACAUAAGGACUAAACCUUCAAUCAGUAGAACUGGAGAAGGUUAUGAAAAAAACCUAAAGCAUUGAAGUUUCAUUGGAUCCACCAAGACUUCCUACAGCUGUCCGUCUGGCCAAACUAAGUAAAUGGGCAAGAAGGAGACCAAGAACCUAAUGGCCGCACUAACUGAGUGGCAGAUUUUAUCUUUAGAGAUGGGAGAACUUGCCAGAAGUACAACAAUACCUGCAACAUUCCAUCAAUCAGGCCUUUAUGGUAAAGUGGUUGGAAACAGAUGUGUAUAAAGUACAAAUUAAAAGUAGUCAACUGGGUUUGGCUGUGUUCACCACUUAAGGGAUGUGUCUAAUUAAGAUCUUAGUAACCAGGCAAAAGGAGUUCAAAACUAACCAGUGAUCAUAUAAAGGAAGAGCCUACAUUAUUAAUCAGGGUCAAUGGUUAGUUACUCCAUUUACCUGGUCAAUUACCUGGUCCUUAAGAACUUCCCAAAACUGGUGAACACAGCCGAAUACUUUUACUUCGUACUUUUUACACCUCUGGUUGGAAAGAAUCCACUCAUGAGUAAAAGGCAUAUGACAUUUAGUUUGACAAACGGCAGUUAAAGGACAACAGCUGGCUAGUUCUAAGUGGCAGGGACUGGGAGACUGGUUGGGUUUGAGGGAAUGAUGAAUGAAGGAAAAUACAGAGCGCACAGGACUAGGGUGAAGAUUCAUUUUUCUGCACCACAACAAUUCACAACACUAGAAUCGUUUUGGCAGAAUACUGUAAAAGGGUCUAAAUAAAAGGGUCAUAAAGGGUCUGAAUACUUAUGUACAUGAGUUAUUUCAGUUUUCUGAGUUUUCUGAUUAAAAGUUUUUAUUGACAUUAACAGAGUAUUAAUUCCUUAAUAUACAAAAAAUAUAUUAAACCAUAGAACAAAUACACAAUUGGAGACAAAAAACAAGUAUUUUUGUUUAACAAAAUGUAAUCUACAUUUUAGCCUCAUCAAAGAAGCCCCUUUCUGCAGACAAAACAGCCAAACACACUCAUGGCAUUCUUUCUACAAUGGAAAUCAAAUAUUGUUUGGCAUGUUCUUCCCAACCCCUUUGCAGAAAUGUGUUGCACUUGUAGGUUGCUGUGCUUUCACCCUUUUGCCUAGUUCAUCCCAACCCAGGUCAAUGGGAUUUGAGUCUUGAGACUGGGCUAGCAAUUCCAUGAUAAGCUUCCCAAAUUAGUACUGAUAAAGCCUGGAGUUUUUACUUCCACUGCUGCAGAACAACUGUAAGUUUUCAUCCCAUUACUUGUUACCUUAAAAAGGCCUUUUUGGUAACAAUUUUUUUUUUAUCACCUCUGGCGGUUUACCACUUACCUUUGUACUUUUUCAGGUUAUUCACUGGACUGGAACGCUUGCAUUUCUAUAGAAAAUGGAAAAAGGGGGGUGUCGGAAACCUUUUGACUGAGCUUGGAUGCUGCAGACUACCACAGGUACUGGGUCUAAAAGGAGUUCAUAUAUCUGGGGUGGUGGAAACUACGGAUGCAUCUACCUGUGAAAGACCUCUGCUCAUAUCAUCCAGUCAUGAAGGAUAACUGAGUUUUGGGCUGGUAACUGAGAUGUCGCUUUUUCAAAUUUCCCAGAUGAAAGUUCUUAGUUUACCCUUGAGCAAAGCCUAACCUUUACUGCCCCUGUUGGUCUCUCUGUCUCAGAGUACCUGCUAACUGACCAAAAUGUAAAAAUGUGUGGAGGGAGAGGUGAUUGGAAGAUGUAUGACAGCUAGCUGCUUGAGAAUAAUAUUGGUUAAAGCCCUGAAAUACCCAAUUUACAAUUCAAGGGCUAGACAUUUAUAACUCUUCAUUUGUGAUUGUUGAUUUCUUUCUUUGGCACUGUUAAUCUAAUUAGAUUAGGUGUGUAAGCAGUUGAGUAUUUCAAUUACAUGGAAUAACUGGGGGUUCUAGAGGAGUUUUGACAACCACUGCAAACAUCCACCCACCAUGUAAUCUCUAGUCCAGAAUCCAAACCAGUAAAUCUACAAUAUCUUGCCUCUGGUAGUAGCUACAUGGAGAUCUGUUAAGACUGAACAUUUUAAUUCUUGCUGAUUUUCUUUAAGUCCUAGACACAUGAGGGUGCAGAGGGAAACACUCUAGAUACCUUGAGGGAACAGAGGGUCAGACUAAUUUCAGGGCAUGUCCUCCUAAAUCAGUUUACUACUCCCAGUACCUCUAUAGUUCCAGCCAAUCACACGCAAUCUGAAAAACAACCCAUCAGUUUGGCACAAAGCUUCACUGGUUUCCAUAAUAGCUAAUAUUAGCCUGUUUUAUCCUCUCUAUGAAACAAUAACUAUUUUCCAGUCUGGAUGGAUGCUGUCCUGUGAUUGAAUACAGCUUUGACAUCUACAGACUCAGUCAUUAUCAUGGGCUUUAUGGUCUAUAUGUCUGUUUGACAUGCAUUUAAUGUGUUUCCAUAUUUAAUACAAUUACUUGAAUUAU